AUCAGAUUUUUCCAACGAGGGUUCGGUGGGAAAUUGAAAGUUCUGUGUGUGGAGUAUUAACAGUAGAAAUUUAGGAUACCAGUUUCUUCCGAUGAAGAUGAAGAUUAAAAGAAAAGAUCUCGAUCAAAUUAACGAUGACUUCUCAGAUUUCUCCCUCUCAUCGCCUGCCAGGAAGAUUCGUCGUCUGGAUGUUGGUUUGCCGCCUAUCAUAGAAGAAGAAGAACCUCAGGAAAUUGCUGUUUUAAGCAAAGAGCCUUUGAUUCCUGAAAAUUUCGUAGUAGGUGGAAAUGGUCUGAGGAUUGAGGAAUUGCCGGACGCUUCUUCUGUUUCUCCUUCAGCUUAUGCUGUGGAAGAUUGUCCUUCCUGCGACAAUCAUGAGAGGGCUAUUGUUCUGUUUAAACCUGUUAAUACGUCUUUCUUGCAAUCUUCUCCUCUUUCGGUAUCUGUCGAUUCCGACAUUAUAUCUGGUUUCAAGAGCGAAUUUCUUCGUGAGAAUCGUUAUGAUGGCCGGCUGAAAUUUGAUGAAGAUGAUGAGGAAAUGGGAACGGAGAACAAGAAUCUGGCUGUUGUUCCUUGGGUUCCUCGUUUGCAGGUUCCUGCUUCCACAAACAUGGAGGUUCCCCAAGAGGAGGCUCCACAGUUGAUGGAAGCUGAAGAAGUUGGAGAGGCAACAAUGGAGAUUGAAGAAG
Molecule: unclassified non-coding RNA, 689 nt
Filed under: Hevea brasiliensis (rubber tree)
Lineage: Eukaryota; Viridiplantae; Streptophyta; Magnoliopsida; Malpighiales; Euphorbiaceae
Source: RNAcentral